RNAcentral lists this transfer RNA (76 nucleotides) under Opitutaceae bacterium. RNAcentral's name for it is "tRNA-Thr". It matches the Rfam family "tRNA". Rfam says of the family: Transfer RNA (tRNA) molecules are approximately 80 nucleotides in length. Their secondary structure includes four short double-helical elements and three loops (D, anti-codon, and T loops). The record is from RNAcentral. Lineage: Bacteria; Pseudomonadati; Verrucomicrobiota; Opitutia; Opitutales; Opitutaceae.
GCCGACAUAGCUCAGUUGGUAGAGCAGCGGUAUCGUAAACCGCAGGUCGUCGGUUCAAGUCCGACUGUCGGCUCCA